CCAGGCGUCGAGCGGCGGACGGGUGAGUAACGCGUGAGAAUCUGCCCAUUUGUGGGGGAUAACUCGGGGAAACUCGAGCUAAUACCGCAUAAUCCCUACGGGGGAAAGCAGGGGACCUUCGGGCCUUGUGCAGAUGGAUGAGCUCGCGUCGGAUUAGCUUGUUGGUGAGGUAAAGGCUCACCAAGGCGACGAUCCGUAGCUGGUCUGAGAGGAUGAUCAGCCACACCGGGACUGAGACACGGCCCGGACUCCUACGGGAGGCAGCAGUGGGGAAUCUUGGACAAUGGGGGCAACCCUGAUCCAGCCAUGCCGCGUGUGUGAAGAAGGCCUUCGGGUUGUAAAGCACUUUCAGUAGGGAGGAAGGCUUACCGCUAAUAACGGUGAGUACUUGACGUUACCUACAGAAGAAGCACCGGCUAAUUUCGUGCCAGCAGCCGCGGUAAUACGAAAGGUGCGAGCGUUAAUCGGAAUUACUGGGCGUAAAGCGCGCGUAGGCGGUUUGUUAAGUCAGAUGUGAAAGCCCCGGGCUCAACCUGGGAAUUGCAUUUGAAACUGGCAGGCUAGAGUGCAGUAGAGGGAGGUGGAAUUUCCGGUGUAGC
Molecule: ribosomal RNA, 599 nt
Filed under: Alcanivorax jadensis
Lineage: Bacteria; Pseudomonadati; Pseudomonadota; Gammaproteobacteria; Oceanospirillales; Alcanivoracaceae
Description: bacterial SSU rRNA
Rfam family: Bacterial small subunit ribosomal RNA
Source: RNAcentral